Non-coding RNA from Gossypium hirsutum (cotton), 107 nucleotides. The record is from Rfam. Lineage: Eukaryota; Viridiplantae; Streptophyta; Magnoliopsida; Malvales; Malvaceae.
AUGCCAUGAUGAGGGCACUUUAGUAAUAACUCAUUAAACCUCUCCCUUGCCUUAUAUAAAGAUUCUUUGUCAAGUUGCUGAAAUGGAGUGAUUUCAUUUCGGAGCUU